AAUAAAAUUUUGAAACACAUAUACAUGUACCAAACCUCGAAUUCUAAUAGUGGUAUCAGAGCCACAAAUUUUUAUAUGCUGAAUUUUGAUAUACAUAUUGUUGGGUAUAAAAUACCCUCGACCGAAGUUCUUGGCGGGAUUGACCCUCGCAAGCCUCUUCCGACUUUUGACUACUGUUGGUGAACUCCCAUCGCUCCACCCGGACUCCUACGGGAGACGGGCUUCGUCCUCGACUCCAACGGCUGC
This 246-nucleotide long non-coding RNA is filed under the name Elaeis guineensis (African oil palm). RNAcentral describes it as "long non-coding RNA (EGUI_LNC071249)". Lineage: Eukaryota; Viridiplantae; Streptophyta; Magnoliopsida; Arecales; Arecaceae. The record is from RNAcentral.